This is a small nucleolar RNA of Phyllostomus hastatus (greater spear-nosed bat), 132 nucleotides long. RefSeq annotates it as small nucleolar RNA SNORA42/SNORA80 family. The transcript has a single exon. The record is from RefSeq and is a predicted model, not a curated record. Lineage: Eukaryota; Metazoa; Chordata; Mammalia; Chiroptera; Phyllostomidae.
GCAUGGUAGUGGAUCUAUUGGUGGGCUCUCCUCUGUGGCCUCUCAUAGGGCACCCAUGCCAGAGUGAAUUGCAGCCUCGCACCAUUGGGCUGCGUACCUGUGGGCUGUAAGCACUGAAGCAGGUUGUAUGUG